This 67-nucleotide transfer RNA is filed under the name Epeurysa nawaii. RNAcentral's name for it is "tRNA-Gln". The record is from RNAcentral. Lineage: Eukaryota; Metazoa; Arthropoda; Insecta; Hemiptera; Delphacidae.
UAUAAAAUGUUGUUUAAGCAUAGAGAAUUUUGAUUUCUCAGGUAUUAGUUGAAUCUACUUUUUAUAG